RNAcentral lists this ribosomal RNA (235 nucleotides) under Olea europaea subsp. europaea. RNAcentral describes it as "SSU_rRNA_bacteria". Lineage: Eukaryota; Viridiplantae; Streptophyta; Magnoliopsida; Lamiales; Oleaceae. The record is from RNAcentral.
AUGUAACAAUUACGAUAUCAUAAUUACACCUCUCUCUCCAUGUGCUCCCCUCUUUUUAAUUUUCAAGCUGUAUAAAAGUAGAUUUAUAAAUUCAUGCCUGAGGUAAUAGCCUAACAAGACAGUGAUCAAGCUAAUUUGGGAAGAUGAUUAGCUACACUAGAACUGAGACUUGAUCUAGACUCCUACGAGAGACAGUAGUGGAGAAUUUUCUACAAUGGAUAAAGUUUGAUCGAGU